GAUGAAGAGCGCAGCGAAAUGCGAUAAGUAAUGUGAAUUGCAGAAUUCAGUGAAUCAUCGAAUCUUUGAACGCACCUUGCACCCUUUGGCAUUCCGAAGGGUAUGCUCGUUUGAGUGUCAUUGUACUCUCACACUCUCCGAUCCUAUGGAUUCGGGGAGCGGUGGACUUGGGUGUUGCUGCCUUUCCUUGUGGCUCACCUCAAAUGUGUCAGUGCACCUCUUGGUUGGACAUAGUACGGCGUGAUAAGUGUCUUCGCCGGCACCUCGCAAGAGGGUGGCCGAUCGGGAGCUCUGUGCUUUCAAACCGUCUUCGGACAAUUUCUGACAACUUGACCUCAAAUCGAGUAGGACUACCCGCUGAACUUAAGCAUAUCAAUAAGCGGAGGA
This 387-nucleotide unclassified non-coding RNA is filed under the name soil metagenome. RNAcentral's name for it is "partial contains 5.8S ribosomal RNA, internal transcribed spacer 2, and large subunit ribosomal RNA". The stretch from base 1 to 120 matches the Rfam family "5.8S ribosomal RNA", at positions 35 to 154 of the family's 154-position model. The record is from RNAcentral.